This 253-nucleotide ribosomal RNA is filed under the name uncultured bacterium. Its description in RNAcentral is "partial 16S ribosomal RNA". It matches the Rfam family "Bacterial small subunit ribosomal RNA", at positions 524 to 776 of the family's 1533-position model. The record is from RNAcentral.
UACGUAGGGUGCGAGCGUUGUCCGGAAUUAUUGGGCGUAAAGGGCUCGUAGGCGGUUUGUCGCGUCGGGAGUGAAAUCCACUGGCUUAACUGGUGGCUUGCUUUCGAUACGGGCAGACUGGAGGUAUGCAGGGGAGAACGGAAUUCCUGGUGUAGCGGUGAAAUGCGCAGAUAUCAGGAGGAACACCGGUGGCGAAGGCGGUUCUCUGGGCCUUACCUGACGCUGAGGUGCGAAAGCGUGGGGAGCAAACAGG